Molecule: ribosomal RNA, 972 nt
Filed under: Triticum aestivum (bread wheat)
Lineage: Eukaryota; Viridiplantae; Streptophyta; Magnoliopsida; Poales; Poaceae
Description: partial small subunit ribosomal RNA
Source: RNAcentral
AUGACAGUGUCGCGGCGGGUGCUCGUGCUCGUCCGCCUCUCACCGGCCUCCCUCGCCGUCCUUGGUGCCCGCUUUCACCUCCUCGACCUCCACGCCUCGCCGCUACCCAUGGACGCAUUCCUCGCGGCCGCAGCUGCCGACAACGACGACCCACCGCGUGCUGCCCUUAUCCCUGGCCAUGGGAGCGUCUGCGUCGACGCGGCGUUCCUCGACGCCGUCCCGUCGCUGCGCUGCGUCCUGUUCAACAGUGCAGGGUUGGACCACGUUGACCUCCUCGAAUGCGAGCGCCGCGGGGUCGGCGUGGCCAACGCCACAGGGGUCUACUCGGCCGACGUCGCUGACUACGCCGUAGGCCUCCUGAUCGAUGUGCUCCCGCGCGUGUCUGCGUCCGACAGGCACGUCCGGCGCGGACACUGGCCGGAGCGCGGCGGCCACGGGUUCACGCUCGGCAGGAAGCGCGUGGGCAUCAUCGGGCUUGGCAGCAUCGGGUCGGCGAUCGCCACGAGGUUGGAGGCGUUCAACUGCGCCGUCUCCUACCACUCACGCCGCCAGAAAAGCAAUGUCCCCUACUGCUACUACCCGACCGCCCGCGACCUUGCUGAGUGCUCCGACGUGCUCGUCGUCACGUGCCCUUUGACCGCCGAGACCCGACACAUCGUCGACAGGCGUGUGCUGGACGCCCUGGGGAGCGGCGGCGUCGUGGUUAACGUGGCGCGCGGCGCGAACGUCGACGAGGUGGAGCUCGUGAGGGCGCUCGCGGAGGGAAGGAUCACCGGCGCCGGGCUUGACGUGUUCGAGCACGAGCCCGACGUUCCGCCCGAGCUGCUGGCCAUGGAAAACGUGGUGCUGACACACCACCAGGCCGCCUUCACCCCGGAGUCCGUGGCAGACCUGGACCGCCUCUUCGUGGACAACCUCGAGGCCUUCUUCCGAGGCUCGCCGUUGCUUACGCCCGUCGUCGUCUACGACUGA